UACGGAGGGUGCAAGCGUUAAUCGGAAUUACUGGGCGUAAAGCGUGCGUAGGCGGUUCGUUAAGUCUGUUGUGAAAGCCCCGGGCUCAACCUGGGAAUGGCAAUGGAUACUGGCGAGCUAGAGUGUGUCAGAGGAUGGUGGAAUUCCCGGUGUAGCGGUGAAAUGCGUAGAGAUCGGGAGGAACAUCAGUGGCGAAGGCGGCCAUCUGGGACAACACUGACGCUGAGGCACGAAAGCGUGGGGAGCAACAGG
Molecule: ribosomal RNA, 252 nt
Filed under: uncultured bacterium
Lineage: Bacteria
Description: partial 16S ribosomal RNA
Rfam family: Bacterial small subunit ribosomal RNA
Source: RNAcentral